Hippocampus comes (tiger tail seahorse) is the source of this 694-nucleotide long non-coding RNA. RefSeq lists it as uncharacterized. The record is from RefSeq and is a predicted model, not a curated record. NCBI's taxonomy places the organism in Eukaryota, Metazoa, Chordata, Actinopteri, Syngnathiformes, Syngnathidae. The transcript has 2 exons.
GUCAUGUAGCACCGCCCACUCCUGUCUAUUGAAACUGAUGUCAGAGUAGCCACGGGCUUGCCUUGUAAGCAUCGCGUGGCCAAACCCAGAAAACAGGUUGAACCGUGACAUUAGGAAAUUAAGCCCGUGGGCACUUUGAUGUUAAUUUUCAAUCACCAGUAGGGGGUGGUGCCACCUUGGAUGGCAAUAAAAACCCAGGGGAUUAUGAUGCUUUGUCCUUAUUCCAAAAACGCAAUCUCAGAAAUACUGUCUUGAAGGUAAUGGGGGCACCCGGAUCAUCUUGUUGCAAAUAUAAUAUUUGACUCGAAUUCUGCUCUAAGCUUGAAUGAGAAAUGCUUCUUCAGCUUCAACUAACGAAUUCCUUUCACUGCUUUAAAGAUAAAAACCUGAUGUCACUGAGCGGGAAAAUUCUCAUGACCUGUGACCUGGCGAGGCGUUACGGGAUCCGAGAUGUCGACGGGCGGUGUGUGGACGACUUUACCUCCCUUAAGUUCCUGCUGACACAAGUUCCGUAUGUCUCCUGGCUCUCAUCUUUUGUCCCGUCUUUUAUAAGACUGCCCCGCUUUCUGCUCCCCUUGACAAGCAACCAUUUCUAACCAUAAGCUAGCGAGGCGUUGAAAACCUAUUUGUGACUAUUUUUGAAUCCAAUCACGACAAGUGUUUAUUGAAAUGAAAGACUCCGGGAAUUUUGAAU